RNAcentral lists this ribosomal RNA (500 nucleotides) under uncultured bacterium. RNAcentral describes it as "partial 16S ribosomal RNA". It matches the Rfam family "Bacterial small subunit ribosomal RNA", at positions 30 to 523 of the family's 1533-position model. The record is from RNAcentral.
AUUGAACGCUGGCGGCAUGCCUUACACAUGCAAGUCGAACGGCAGCACGGGAGCAAUCCUGGUGGCGAGUGGCGAACGGGUGAGUAAUAUAUCGGAACGUGCCCAGUCGUGGGGGAUAACGCAGCGAAAGCUGUGCUAAUACCGCAUACGAUCUACGGAUGAGAGCGGGGAAUCGCAAGACCUCGCGCGAUUGGAGCGGCCGAUAUCAGAUUAGCUAGUUGGUGAGGUAAAGGCUCACCAAGGCGACGAUCUGUAGCUGGUCUGAGAGGACGACCAGCCACACUGGAACUGAGACACGGUCCAGACUCCUACGGGAGGCAGCAGUGGGGAAUUUUGGACAAUGGACGCAAGUCUGAUCCAGCCAUUCCGCGUGCAGGAUGAAGGCCCUCGGGUUGUAAACUGCUUUUGUACGGAACGAAAGGGUCUCUCUUAAUACGGGGGGCUCAUGACGGUACCGUAAGAAUAAGCACCGGCUAACUACGUGCCAGCAGCCGCCGUAA